CAGUUCCACGUCAAAACCAACAAUUUGGUUUUUUUCUCUCCGCGCUCGUUUCUCGCCGCAACAAAAACCUUCGUGCCCUAAAACACACAAACGUCGCGUUUUCUCUCCGCCUCUUGCCCUAACGUUUUCUCUCCGCCUCCUUACCCUCGCUCUUUCCCCUUUGCCUCUUGCUGUCGCGUUUUCCCUCCGCCUCCUUCUCUCGGUGCUUGGCGGACUUGGAUCCUUCCUUUCUCUCAACCUCUCCCCUGCCCUAAAUCUCUCCGCUCUCUGCUCUCGGCGCUCGGCGGACUUGGACCCUUCCUUUCUCUCAGCCUCUCCUCUGCCCUAAAUCUACCCUGAAUCCAGGUGAAAAAUAAUCAUGGAACAAGGAAAAAGUGAUUCAAAUGAGGUAAACGAUAACAACGACCAUGUGAGCAUAGACCUAUCUCCAACUAGUUUAAAUGAAGUCAUGAUUCCUAAGAUUGGAAUGACUUUUAUAUCUGAAGAUGAAGUUCGUAAUUUUUAUAAAUCCUAUACUCAGAAUGUUGGUUUUGGUAUUUCUAAAUUAGGUGGUAAAAAGGGAGAUGAUGCAAAGCAAAAAUAUUUUUGUUUUGGAUGUGCCAAAAGUGGUAAAACAGUAUCUAAUGCCAAAAAUGCUUUGUACCCUAGACCUUCUACUAAGACAAAUUACAAAGCUAAGAUUAAUGUUGUUAUUCGGAAUGAUGAUAACUUUGUGAUAAGUAGUGUAUCUCUUGAACAUAAUCAUGUCUUGAGCCCGGGAAAAUCAUGACAUUUUAGAUGUAAUAAAUUAUUGGAUUCAACUACAAAGAGGAAACUUGAAUUAAAUGAUCAAGCAGGAAUUACUUUAAGUAAAAGUUUUCAUUCAUUGGUAGUUGAGGCUGGAGGCUAUGAGAAUUUGACAUUUGAUGAGAGAAAGUGUAGGAAUUAUAUUUCAGAAGCUAGAAGGUUGAGGUUAGGGGAUGGAGAUGCUGAGGCCUUGAGUAAUUAUUUUUGUCGCAUGCAAAGUCGGAACUCUAAUUUCUUUUAUAUACUUGAUUUAGAUGAAGAGUCUCGAAUAAGAAAUGUUUUUUUGGAUAGAUGCAAGAUGUAGGGCUGCAUAUCAUUACUUUACUGAUGUUGUGACUUUUGAUACAAGUUAUUUGACUAAUAGUUAUGAUAUGUCAUUUGCUCCUUUUGUUGGGGUGAAUCAUCAUGGUCAAUCCAUUUUGCUUGGAUGUGGAUUGUUAUCAAGUGAAGAUUCAGAAACAUUCAUAUGGUUGUUCAAAUCUUGGCUGACAUGUAUGUUUGGGCGUGCUCCAAAGGCGAUAAUCACAGACCAGUGUCGUGCCAUGGCAAUUGCUAUUGAAGACAUAUUUCUGGAUUCUCAUCAUCUUUUGUGUCUUUGGCAUAUAAUGAAAAAAUUACCAGCAAAAUUAGGUGGGCAUGCUCAAUAUAAGCUGAUAAAGAAACAAUUGAAGACUAUUGUGUACAACUCACUUACUAUUGAUGAAUGUGAUGAGAAUUGGAUGAAAAUGAUUUAGGUUUUUAAUUUAGAGAACAAUGACUAGUUGAAAUAUUUGUAUGAAUAGCGGAAUAGAUGGAUACCUAUGUAUGUCAAAGAUAAGUUUUGGGCAGGUAUGCCCACAUCCCAAAGGAGUGAAAGUAUGAAUGUUUUUUUUGAUGAAUAUGUUCAUUCGAAAACUUCUUUGAAGCAAUUUGUUGAACAGUUUGAUAAUGCUCUGAAGAAGAAGAUUGAAAAAGAAAAAAAUUGGAUUUUGGUUCUUUUAAUUCUAUGAUGCCAGUAAUUUCUGGUUAUCUUAUUGAAAGAUAAUUUCAAAGUUUCUACACUAACAACUUAUUUAAGUUGUUCCAAGAUGAGAUAAGAGGGUUGAUGUUUUGCAAUACCUCACUAGUGAGGAAAGAAGGGGUUGCUUUUAUAUUUGAAGUGGUAAAAACUUUGUUGGGAAAAAAUGGAGACCCUAUAAGAGAUGUUUCCUUCAGGGUAGAUUAUGCUGAGUUAGAUUGUCAAGUUAAGUGUCUAUGCCAUCUUUUUGAGUUUCGGGGAAUUUUAUGUAGGCAUGUGAUCUCUGUGUUGAUACGAGUGAAGGUAAUUGAGGUUCCUAUGAAUUAUAUUAUGGAUCGAUGGUGCAAAGAUAUUAAGCGUGGUUAUCAAAGUAUCACUAACAUUUAUGAUGAAUAUGUUUGUGAUGGAGAAAGACAUCGGUAUAAUAUUCUCACUCCAUUGAUGCAAGAGGUUCAACAACUUGGGGCAAAUAAUGACGACGGUUGUUCUGUUUUGAUGGAAAUCUUGAAAGAUGCGAAGGAAAAAUUGAUUGCUAUUCAAAUAGAUCAUUCAAGAGUCGACCAAUUGAAAGAAGCAUCUACAUCGAGUUCAAAAACAAUACACUCUCCAUUAAAAGUAAGAUCUCGAGGCCGUUCACCCACAAAGAGGAAACAAUCUAAGAUUGAACAAAUUAUGAAGAAAUCAGUUGCAAAGGCCAGAAGAAAGGUCAUUCAUUCUGUGACAACCAGCCAAUCAACAACAUAAUGAUGACGACGACAAUCAUUCAAUUCUUUCUGUUCUCAGCAACCAGGAGCUAGUGAUCAGAGAGGUACAUCUGGGCAAACGUCAGUGUCAAAACACAUUAUUUUAUGUCAGUGUCAAUAACUAAUCAACAUUCUAAUUGGCAUCAUGCAUAUUGAUAUUCUGUGAUGCAUAAGACCAUGCAACUCAGACCACAGGAAUCUUGCGUGUUCAGGUUUUUGGUGUGGCCAUAGAUUCGAGUUCAGGCUUGUCAGGGGCUAAGAAGGCAGUCUAUAUGAUGCUUGUUUCUUGUGUUUCUAAGCUUGUUCAAUGCUGUGUGAUGGUUAAUUGUAGCUAUGCAUGCCAUUUUGUAGUUGAACUGAUGACAAAUCUGUAUCUGUGUUUGCAAAGCAAUUUUAUGAAACUCGUAUAAGAAA
Molecule: RNA transcript, 2940 nt
Organism: Zingiber officinale
Lineage: Eukaryota; Viridiplantae; Streptophyta; Magnoliopsida; Zingiberales; Zingiberaceae
Exons: 3
Source: RefSeq, a predicted model, not a curated record